RNAcentral lists this transfer RNA (72 nucleotides) under Apaloderma vittatum (bar-tailed trogon). It matches the Rfam family "tRNA". Rfam says of the family: Transfer RNA (tRNA) molecules are approximately 80 nucleotides in length. Their secondary structure includes four short double-helical elements and three loops (D, anti-codon, and T loops). The record is from Rfam by way of RNAcentral. Lineage: Eukaryota; Metazoa; Chordata; Aves; Trogoniformes; Trogonidae.
UCCUCGUUAGUAUAGUGGUGAGUAUCCCCAUCUGUCACGCGGGAGACCUGGGUUCGGUUCCCCAAUGGGGAG